CUUCGGAUGUCAGCGGCAGACGGGUGAGUAACACGUGGGAACGUACCCUUCGGUUCGGAACAACUCUGGGAAACUGGAGCUAAUACCGGAUACGCCCUUUUGGGGAAAGGUUUACUGCCGAAGGAUCGGCCCGCGUCUGAUUAGCUAGUUGGUGGGGUAACGGCCUACCAAGGCGACGAUCAGUAGCUGGUCUGAGAGGAUGAUCAGCCACACUGGGACUGAGACACGGCCCAGACUCCUACGGGAGGCAGCAGUGGGGAAUAUUGGACAAUGGGCGCAAGCCUGAUCCAGCCAUGCCGCGUGAGUGAUGAAGGCCUUAGGGUUGUAAAGCUCUUUUGUCCGGGACGAUAAUGACGGUACCGGAAGAAUAAGCCCCGGCUAACUUCGUGCCAGCAGCCGCGGUAAUACGAAGGGGGCUAGCGUUGCUCGGAAUCACUGGGCGUAAAGGGCGCGUAGGCGGCCAUUCAAGUCGGGGGUGAAAGCCUGUGGCUCAACCACAGAAUUGCCUUCGAUACUGUUUGGCUUGAGUAUGGUAGAGGUUGGUGGAACUGCGAGUGUAGAGGUGAAAUUCGUAGAUAUUCGCAAGAACACCGGUGGCGAAGGCGGCCAACUGGACCAUUACUGACGCU
RNAcentral lists this ribosomal RNA (629 nucleotides) under Methylobacterium sp. H7.31. RNAcentral describes it as "bacterial SSU rRNA". It matches the Rfam family "Bacterial small subunit ribosomal RNA", at positions 83 to 747 of the family's 1533-position model. The record is from RNAcentral. Lineage: Bacteria; Pseudomonadati; Pseudomonadota; Alphaproteobacteria; Hyphomicrobiales; Methylobacteriaceae.